This 103-nucleotide small nuclear RNA is filed under the name Olea europaea subsp. europaea. The record is from RNAcentral. Lineage: Eukaryota; Viridiplantae; Streptophyta; Magnoliopsida; Lamiales; Oleaceae.
GUCCCUUCGGGGACAUCUGUUAAAAUUGGAAUGAUGUGGAGAAGAUUAGCAUGGCCCUUGGGCAGGGGUGACACGCACAAAUCGAGAAAUGGUCCAAAUUUUU